AGCAGCCGCGGUAAUUCCAGCUCCAAUAGCGUAUAUUAAAGUUGUUGUAGUUAAAAAGCUCGUAGUUGAAUUUCGAGAUCAAAUUGUUGGUCGUGCCUUGGUACGCACUGGCAUUAUUGGUUUCUCCCUUCUGACGAACCAUGAUGUCAUUAAUUUGGUGUCUUGGGGAAUCAGGACUGUUACUUUGAAAAAAUUAGAGUGUUUAAAGCAGGCUCACGCUUGAAUACAUUAGCAUGGAAUAAUGAAAUAGGACGUUUGAUUCUAUUUUGUUGGUUUCUAGGAUCGACGUAAUGAUUAAUAGGGUAGUUGGGGGCAUUAGUAUUCAAUUGUCAGAGGUGAAAUUCUUGGAUUUAUUGAAGACUAACUACUGCGAAAGCAUUUGCCAAGGAUGUUUUCAUUAAUCAAGAACGAAAGUUAGGGGAUCGAAGACGAUCGGAUACCGUCGUAGUCUUAACCAUAAACUAUGCCGACUAGGGAUCGGAUGAUGUAAUUUUUAAUGACUCAUUCGGCGCCUUACGGG
Molecule: ribosomal RNA, 520 nt
Filed under: uncultured Glomus
Lineage: Eukaryota; Fungi; Glomeromycota; Glomeromycetes; Glomerales; Glomeraceae
Description: SSU rRNA
Rfam family: Eukaryotic small subunit ribosomal RNA
Source: RNAcentral